AUGCAUCUCAUAUAUUUCACCUUGCUCCUCUUCCUGUGCACCCAAACAAAUUAUGCCGCGACGGACACCAUCUUUGCCGGCCAAGCACUUUCUGUCAACGACAAGCUCGUCUCCAACAAUGGCAGGUACGCGCUUGGCUUCUUCAACACAAGCAGCAGCAAACCAUCACGAGACACCACCAACUGGUACCUUGGCAUAUGGUUCAAUACAGUCCCCAAAUUUACUUCUGCAUGGGUCCCAAAUAGGGAUAGGCCAAUCAAGAACACCACCUCACUGGAGCUCACAAUCUCCCACGAUGGCAACCUUGUCAUCUUAAACCAGUCCACGAAGUCCAUAAUCUGGAGUACACAAGCAAACAUCACAAGAAAUAGCACCACUGCUAUGCUCUUGAGUAGAGGAAAUCUCAUCCUAACAGAUUCUUCAAACUCAUCAGAGAUUUUGUGGGAGAGCUUUGAUCACCCUACAGACACACUUUUCCCUGGGGCGAAGCUUGGAUGGGACAAGCUCACUGGCCUAAACCGUCGUCUAGUUUCUUGGAAGAACUUGAACGACCCAGCUACCGGUGUGUACUGUGAUAGGUUAGACCCAAGUGGCGCCAAUCAGUUCUUGCUUACACCAAUGAACUCCUCCAUACCAUAUUGGUCGACUGGUGUAUGGAAUGGCAAAUACUUUGCCUCAAUACCAGAGAUGUCAGGCAACAACCCACCUUUUACUUCAAAUUUUGUUCACAAUGACCAAGAGAAGUACAUGACACUUACUGUAGUCGAUGAAUCAAUGGUUACUCGUAAUGUACUGGAUGUCUCAGGUCGAUCAAAACAGUUCGUUUGGUCGGAGGGUUCACAGGAUUGGACAAUGGUCUAUGCCCAACCGAAACUUCAGUGUGAUGUCUAUGCAAUCUGUGGACCAUUCACAAUUUGCUAUGAUAAUGCAGUUCCAUAUUGCAGUUGCAUGGAGGGCUUCACCAUAACAUCCCCCAAGUAUUGGCAGCUAGAAGAUACAACCGGUGGCUGCUCGAGAAAUACUCAGUUAGACUGCAUUAGCAAUAAAAGCACAACUCAUACCACAGACAAGUUCUACUCUGUGCCAUGUGUUAAGUUGCCUCAGAAUGCCCCAAAAGUAGAAGCUGUUACAAGCGUGAGUGAGUGCGCACAAGUUUGCCUGAGUAACUGCUCUUGCACCGCAUAUUCCUUCAAUAAUGAAAGAUGUUCUAUCUGGCAUAAUGAACUCCUCAACAUAAGAGCACUACAAUGUAGUGGCACUGCCAGUUCAACUGGAGAAACUCUUUACCUUCGUGUUUCUGCUAAAGAUUUCCACAUAUCGAAAAACAACAGAAAGGGAAUUGUUAUUGGAGUUGCAACGGGUGCAGGCGUUUCUGCUCUGGGUUUAUUUGCACUUCUCCUGGUAAGGAUUUGGAGAAACAUAAGGAAGGGCUCUAGCCGUAUACUGGAUGGUGUUCAAGGCUGUAACAGAAUCAUUGCAUUUAAAUACACUGAUUUACAGCAUGCCACAAGAAAAUUCACAGAUAAGUUAGGGGCAGGCAGUUUUGGUUCUGUAUUCAAGGGGUUUUUAAAUGACUCAACUGCCAUAGCCGUGAAAAGGCUUGACGGUGCUUAUCAAGGAGAGAAGCAAUUUAGAGCUGAAGUGAGCUCGAUUGGAGCUGUCCAGCACAUCAAUUUAGUUAAGCUUGUUGGUUUUUGUUGUGAGGGUUCUAAGAGGUUGCUUAUUUACGAGCACAUGCCAAAUCGCUCACUUGAUGUGCAUCUAUUUAGAAACAACUCUACAAUGUUGAAUUGGAAUGUUAGGUACCAGAUAGCCCUAGGAGUUGCGAGAGGGUUAGCUUACUUGCAUGAGAGCUGUCGAGACUGCAUCAUACACUGUGAUAUCAAGCCAGAAAACAUACUUCUUGAUGCUUCAUUCGUUCCAAAAGUUGCAGACUUUGGGAUGGCAAAGCUCUUAGGAAGGGAGUUUACCCGAGUCUUGACUACAAUGAGAGGAACUGCAGGGUACUUUGCACCUGAAUGGAUUUUUGGGGUUGCUAUUACACCAAAAAUCGAUGUUUAUAGCUACGGUAUGGUGCUGCUGGAAAUUAUAUCUGGAAAGAGAAACUCAUGCGCACCAUGUACUAGCGGUGGCAACCUUGAUGUUUAUUUCCCUGUGUAUGCUGCACAUAAGCUUCUUGAAGGAGAAGUCAGGAGUUUGGUAGAUGAAAUGUUACAUGAUGUUGUCAAUCUGGACCAGGUUGAACUGGCUUGCAAGGUUGCAUGUUGGUGUAUCCAAGAUGAUGAGUUUGAUCGACCAACGACCAACGAUGGGAGAGGUAGUUCGGAUUCUGGAAGGGCAAAUUGA
Molecule: ribosomal RNA, 2346 nt
Filed under: Triticum aestivum (bread wheat)
Lineage: Eukaryota; Viridiplantae; Streptophyta; Magnoliopsida; Poales; Poaceae
Description: partial small subunit ribosomal RNA
Source: RNAcentral